Molecule: long non-coding RNA, 721 nt
Organism: Micropterus dolomieu (smallmouth bass)
Lineage: Eukaryota; Metazoa; Chordata; Actinopteri; Centrarchiformes; Centrarchidae
Exons: 6
Source: RefSeq, a predicted model, not a curated record
AGGCACUUCAUGUUCAGCAGGGCAGCGGACGUGAACUCCCUUCAACCACCGCUCUGUAUGCUGUUCAUCCUAUGGACACCUCAGCACCUGCGGCUCACCACCAGACCACACUCAUGUCCCUUAGGUCUGAAAACAAGAGUCCACCCACAGAAAUAUCACAUACCUCUGCAAGAAAGACAAAACCACGUGAAAGAGGUCCUAAAGUUGGCUUAAACCAGCUGAUUGUAGUGUCAUGUGAAGGAAAGCGAAAAGUCUACUGUCAGCUGUGUUCUGUGAAGUUGAACAGUUCCAGGCACCCACUUGGGUUUGAGCACAAGUAUAACUAUGUGAAAAAGCUGUACCCUUGGUGGACUGCCAAGCCAUUGGACGUGGAGAGCAAAUUGGACAAGAUGGUAGCCAACUUGGCUGAUGUAGAGAAAGAUGUAGGAUCCUGCUCCGCACAGACAAUGGAAGUGAACAUUGAUUGAGUACAACGAGCUGAAUGGUCUUCCAGACAACAAAGCUCUAGAAAGGGUGAAAGCAAUGGUGAAACAGAACGAGUCGCAGGUCUCAUCCUCCACAACUGAUGCUGCAGAGGUUUUGAGACAGCGUGUUGCCAUUGCUAGUCCAUGUGAAAUUUCAAGCCCAGAUGAUGUGACUUCCAUGCCACAGAAUGAAAUGGCAGGACCUUCUACUGAUAACCAAUCAGAGCAUGAGAACAAAUAUGAGCCCCAGACGCCAG